CUCCACCGGAAAAAGANGAGUGGCGAACGGGUGAGUAACACGUGGGUAACCUGCCCAUCAGAAGGGGAUAACACUUGGAAACAGGUGCUAAUACCGUAUAACAAUCNAAACCGCAUGGUUUUGAUUUGAAAGGCGCUUUCGGGUGUCGCUGAUGGAUGGACCCGCGGUGCAUUAGCUAGUUGGUGAGGUAACGGCUCACCAAGGCCACGAUGCAUAGCCGACCUGAGAGGGUGAUCGGCCACAUUGGGACUGAGACACGGCCCAAACUCCUACGGGAGGCAGCAGUAGGGAAUCUUCGGCAAUGGACGAAAGUCUGACCGAGCAACGCCGCGUGAGUGAAGAAGGUUUUCG
Molecule: ribosomal RNA, 351 nt
Filed under: Enterococcus faecium
Lineage: Bacteria; Bacillati; Bacillota; Bacilli; Lactobacillales; Enterococcaceae
Description: bacterial SSU rRNA
Rfam family: Bacterial small subunit ribosomal RNA
Source: RNAcentral